Molecule: long non-coding RNA, 637 nt
Filed under: Nicotiana tabacum (common tobacco)
Lineage: Eukaryota; Viridiplantae; Streptophyta; Magnoliopsida; Solanales; Solanaceae
Description: long non-coding RNA (NTAB_LNC007448)
Source: RNAcentral
UUUAAGCUUUCAGGUAGAUUCAAAACAUAAAUAUCAUGACAAAGUCUAUUUAUACAUCACUGGUUUUCAGGUUACAGCACAUUUAACCAAAUUGAACCUCAUGUCUAUUUCAAAUCAGACUCAACCUCCAAAGAGCAGUGUCACUGACCAACAUACAAACAUGAAUAUAUUCAAACUAAAGUCUUAAAAUAAAGACAAAUUAACUCCUACAAUGAGAACAAAUGGCCAACAUGCUUCAAGUCUUUCAGAUUUCCAUAUCACAAGGUUUUUACAUUGAGAAGAGUUAAAUAGGUACCUGAAAGCACAAGUAAUAAAGGGUAAGAAGAUCAGCAACGCAAUAACAAGAGCAAGGGUCAGCAGCAAAGCAAAUCAACAGAACCAGCCAUCAGCUCCAAAAAUCAAAUUUCAAACCCAGAAAUUGAAAUAAACAACCAGAAACCAAUUUGAUCCAAACAAUGGACCAGGAAAACUUCAACCCAGGUUGAUUUUAAUUCAUUUCUAAGGUCAGCUAAUCAGGACUUGUUGUAUCAUCAGGAAAACUUCAGAAGUUAGCAAUAGAACUCAAUGGAAAAGUACCUGUUUUUUUUUUGAAUUUUUUUUUUGUCUAGAAUUUUCAGAGAUUUUUGGCUCUUCCAAG